Non-coding RNA from Schistosoma mattheei, 49 nucleotides. Lineage: Eukaryota; Metazoa; Platyhelminthes; Trematoda; Strigeidida; Schistosomatidae. The record is from Rfam.
AUCCAUCUGAUGAAUCCUAAAAUAGGACGAAACAUGCGUCAAACUGGAU